AAGUGAAGGCGUCCUGUCGGGAAAGGGGACUCAGGGAGAGGUGUAAAGCCAAGGUUUCCGGAGCCAGAUGUGUGUGCCAAACUCCAUCACUCACCGGCCGAGCAACCUGGGCACAGGGCUCCACAGUCUGGGUCUCUGUUUCCCACCUCUUGCUUGUUUGAGUGUAAUUCCUGAACAGGCCUGAACACAGCAUCUGGAAUAGACUGUGACUGCACCUCACUCUGUUUGUUCUGCAGGAUUUAUCAGACAUGUAUCUGCACCAACCAAAGGGACAUGGUCCAAGUCCUGUGCCUGCAGGAGGAGCUUCCACUGUCCCCAGCAUGCUCCCAUCUGAGGGUCCAGCAGCACUCACCUGGGAGGUAUGAGGGGGAGGAGCAGAAGAAGGUCAAGGGUCAUCCCAGACAAUGGAGCCAAACAGAGAGCCAUUCUGGAAAAGGUCAUCUUUGUGCAUCAUCGCUGAAAAGCAUCUUUCUCCCGGCCCCUUGGCAGGAAAAGUUGUAAGACAUUACGCUGGAAAGAGGGUGUGUUUGUCCAUUUCCCACUGCCAUAAUAAGAUGCAGAAGUUGGGUCUUAUUAUUAAAAAGAGAAAGAUUUAUUUCACUCAUGAUUCUGGAAGUUUUUGGUCCUGUGCCAGCAUCUGCUUGCCUCUGUUAAGGACCUCAUGAGGACCUCGCUGACAAUGGCAGCUCAGUAGAAGGGACGUGUAAAUGAGAUUACACAGAAGACCGGAUGCUAGAGAGAGGCAGGGACAGAGUCAAGUGCUUAAUUUUGUUUAGCUGUAAGCUGUCACUAUACCUCCCAGGCUGGUGAAAACCUACAAGCUCAGGAGAUCCUCCUGCCUCAGUGUCACAUACAGCUGGGACCAUAAGCAGGUAGGUGCCAUGGCAUCUGGCUUCAAGCUUGGUGUUUUUAAGCACCUCAGCCAUGUGGGAACUAGUGUUUCAAGAGAGGUUUAUUAGUUCCUUCCAGGGCCACACUCCUAGACCCAACCAUCUUCCACUAGGCCCAACCCUUAAAGCUUCCAGGUUGAGGACGCCUUUCUAAGGACCAAGCUUCCAGCAUGUCAGUCAAUUUUGGGGAGCAUGCUCAAGACCCAGACACAAAGAGCCAGGGAUGUCUUUUCACUACAGGUGGGAGGAGCUUCCCGGGAUAACUCCUUCACUGUCACACAAUGUCCCAGCGUGUUAAGGCCUUUGUACCUACCUUAGUCCCUACAAUAACGCCAUGGAACAAAGAACCCCAAAGCCUCACAGACCAAGAAAAUUACAUGUUUACUCUUGUUCAUUGGCUGAGGGUCGACAGAGGUGGCUCUGGGCAACCAGCUGAGGUCAGCUCUGCUGUAUGUCUUGAGUUUGUGGACCACUUCUAAGAGGCUAUUUAUUUUGUUUUGUUUUAAAGAUUUUUUUUAUUUAUUUAUUUUAUAUAUAUGAUGAGUACAUUGUAGCUGUCUUCAGACACACCAGAAGAGGGCAUUGGAUCCCAUUACAGAUGAUUGUGAGUCACCAUGUGGUUGCUGGGAAUUAAACUCAGGAUUUCUGGAAGAGCAGUCAGUGCUUUUAAUAGCACCAGCCCAUUUAUUUUGUUUUUAAUAUUUUAUUGAUUUUUAUUUUAUGUGCAUGGGUAUUUUGCUCACAUCUAUGUCUGUGAAAUAGGUGUGUGUCCAGU
Mus spicilegus (steppe mouse) is the source of this 1665-nucleotide long non-coding RNA. NCBI's taxonomy places the organism in Eukaryota, Metazoa, Chordata, Mammalia, Rodentia, Muridae. The record is from Ensembl.